Molecule: ribosomal RNA, 194 nt
Filed under: uncultured bacterium
Lineage: Bacteria
Description: partial 16S ribosomal RNA
Rfam family: Bacterial small subunit ribosomal RNA
Source: RNAcentral
CCUACGGGAGGCAGCAGUAGGGAAUAUUGGACAAUGGGCGCAAGCCUGAUCCAGCCAUGCCGCGUGAGUGAAGAAGGCCCUCGGGUUGUAAAGCUCUUUUGUCCGGAAAGAAAAGCGCCGGGUUAAUACCCUGGUGUCCUGACGGUACCGGAAGAAUAAGCACCGGCUAACUUCGUGCCAGCAGCCGCGGUAAU